RNAcentral lists this ribosomal RNA (439 nucleotides) under uncultured bacterium. RNAcentral's name for it is "partial 16S ribosomal RNA". It matches the Rfam family "Bacterial small subunit ribosomal RNA", at positions 339 to 795 of the family's 1533-position model. The record is from RNAcentral.
CUACGGGACGCUGCAGUGAGGAAUAUUGCACAAUGGGGGGAACCCUGAUGCAGCAACGCCGCGUGGAGGAUGACGCAUUUCGGUGUGUAAACUCCUUUUAUAUGUCAAGAAAAUGACGGUAGCAUAUGAAUAAGCGUCGGCUAACUCCGUGCCAGCAGCCGCGGUAAUACGGAGGGCGCAAGCGUUACUCGGAAUCACUGGGCAUAAAGGACGCGUAGGCGGGUUGAAAAGCCAGGUGUGAAAGCCUACAGCUUAACUGUAGAACUGCACUUGAAACUCUCAAUCUAGAGUAUGGGAAGGGCAGAUGGAAUUAGUGGUGUAGGGGUAACAUCCGUAGAUAUCACUAGGAAUACCUAAAGCGAAGGCGAUCUGCUGGAACAUUACUGACGCUAAGGCGUGAAAGCGUGGGGAGCAAACAGGAUUAGAUACCCCAGUAGUC